AAAAUCUUAUCUUUAGAAUGGAAAAACUCAAAGUAAAUAUCUUUCCAUCUAAAUAGAAGAGUCAUAAUUUCAUUGUCAGGACUGCUGUUGGUUCGCUUCAACUUUAGCAGAAAGAUCCCAACUUUUGUUGUGUAGAGUUUCCUGUCUAUACGUGAGAAGAGAUUAUUUCCUUUGCUGUUAGACCGAGCUUAUUUAUGAUGAUCUAUUCUAAUGUUGUUGUAAUAUUCUCCUCUAUAAGUUUCUUAUAACUUACGGGCAAAUCACUCAGCACAAGAUUAAAUUUAGAUUAUAUUGUGGGCUUAUAAAAAAUAAACAAAUAUAGAAAAUCAAUUUAGAAAAAGAGAAAUCUUUUCAUUGAAAUCCACAUAUAAUAUGUAAAGAACAAAAAAAUAAUCAUGGUGCACGAACACGAUCAGAAAGAAGAGUCGAGAUUCUGUAACUGCUUCACCUAUGAUUAUUGUUUCUUUGGAGCCAUGGCAACUAAAGGAAGAGGUUUUUCUGAGUCUUCUAAGCAGUAUUUUAGAGCAGGCGGGGUUAAGAUUGUUUAGAACCAGUAGAAAGGACAAUGUAUCUUGUCGAUGGUUAAUGUUUUUCCUUUCCCAUCUUACUUCUCUUCUGUCUCAUAGCAUCGAAGAAGAAAGAGAAUUUGGAGUUGGCGUUGGAGCUUUAGUAAUAAUGAGGCAAGACAAACUCGAUCGCUAAUUGUGUGGUUAAUUUUAUUUUUUGUUUCUCAGGUCCC
RNAcentral lists this long non-coding RNA (739 nucleotides) under Oryza brachyantha (malo sina). Its description in RNAcentral is "long non-coding RNA (OBRA_LNC002073)". The record is from RNAcentral. Lineage: Eukaryota; Viridiplantae; Streptophyta; Magnoliopsida; Poales; Poaceae.